UUUGACCUCAGAUCAAGCAAGACUACCCGCUGAAUUUAAGCAUAUUAAUAAGCGGAGGAAAAGAAACUAACAAGGAUUCCCUCAGUAACGGCGAGUGAAGUGGGAAUGGCUCAAGCUUGAAAUCUCUGUUGCUUGCAACAGCGAAUUGUAGUCUCGAGAAGCGUUUUCCCGGCGGAUCUAUCCUGCCUAAGUUGCUUGGAACAGCACAUCAGAGAGGGUGACAAUCCCGUUUGUGGCAGGGCAGACCGUUCAUGAUACGCUUUCCAUGAGUCGGGUUGCUUGGGAAUGCAGCCCAAAAUUGGUGGUAAACUCCAUCUAAAGCUAAAUAUUGCCACGA
RNAcentral lists this ribosomal RNA (337 nucleotides) under Aurelia sp. 6 sensu Dawson et al. (2005). RNAcentral's name for it is "eukaryotic LSU rRNA". It matches the Rfam family "Eukaryotic large subunit ribosomal RNA", at positions 1 to 331 of the family's 3401-position model. The record is from RNAcentral. Lineage: Eukaryota; Metazoa; Cnidaria; Scyphozoa; Semaeostomeae; Ulmaridae.